AGUGAACGCUGGCGGUAGGCCUAACACAUGCAAGUCGAACGGCAGCACAGUAAGAGCUUGCUCUUACGGGUGGCGAGUGGCGGACGGGUGAGGAAUACAUCGGAAUCUACUUUUUCGUGGGGGAUAACGUAGGGAAACUUACGCUAAUACCGCAUACGCCCUACGGGUGAAAGCAGGGGAUCUUCUGACCUUGCGCGAUUGAAUGAGCCGAUGUCGGAUUAGCUAGUUGGCGGGGUAAAGGCCCACCAAGGCGACGAUCCGUAGCUGGUCUGAGAGGAUGAUCAGCCACACUGGAGCUGAGACACGGUCCAGGCUCCUACGGGAGGCCGCAGUGGGUAAUAUUGGACAAUGGGGGCAAGCCUGAUCCAGCCGUGCCGGGUGGGUGAAGCAGGCCUGCGGGUUGUAAAGCCCUUUUGUUGGGAAAGAAAAGCAGCAGGUUAAUACCCCGCUGUUCUGACGGUACCCAAAGAGUAAGCACCGGCUAACUUCGU
Molecule: ribosomal RNA, 491 nt
Filed under: uncultured bacterium
Lineage: Bacteria
Description: partial 16S ribosomal RNA
Rfam family: Bacterial small subunit ribosomal RNA
Source: RNAcentral